GUUUUCGAGGUGUAGUGUAGUUAUCACAUCCGCCUAACACGCGGAAGGUCCCGUUCGAAUUUUGCCCGGGCGAGAAACA
Molecule: non-coding RNA, 79 nt
Organism: Molorchus minor
Lineage: Eukaryota; Metazoa; Arthropoda; Insecta; Coleoptera; Cerambycidae
Source: the annotation of a GenBank genome assembly